Molecule: ribosomal RNA, 506 nt
Filed under: uncultured bacterium
Lineage: Bacteria
Description: partial 16S ribosomal RNA
Rfam family: Bacterial small subunit ribosomal RNA
Source: RNAcentral
AGUGAACGCUGGCGGUAGGCCUAACACAUGCAAGUCGAACGGCAGCACAGGAGAGCUUGCUCUCUGGGUGGCGAGUGGCGGACGGGUGAGGAAUACAUCGGAAUCUACUUUUUCGUGGGGGAUAACGUAGGGAAACUUACGCUAAUACCGCAUACGACCUACGGGUGAAAGCAGGGGACCUUCGGGCCUUGCGCGAUUGAAUGAGCCGAUGUCGGAUUAGCUAGUUGGCGGGGUAAAGGCCCACCCAGGCGACGAUCCGUAGCUGGUCUGAGAGGAUGAUCAGCCACACUGGAACUGAGACACGGUCCAGACUCCUACGGGAGGCAGCAGUGGGGAAUAUUGGACAAUGGGCGCAAGCCUGAUUCAGCCAUACCGCGUGGGUGAAGGAGGCCUUCGGGUUGUAAAGCCCUUUUGUUGGGAAAGAAAUCCAGCUGGCUAAUACCCGGUUGGGAUGACGGUACCCAAAGAAUAAGCACCGGCUAACUUCGUGCCAGCCGCCGCCGUAA